Molecule: ribosomal RNA, 446 nt
Filed under: uncultured bacterium
Lineage: Bacteria
Description: bacterial SSU rRNA
Rfam family: Bacterial small subunit ribosomal RNA
Source: RNAcentral
ACGAACGCUGGCGGCAUGCUUAACACAUGCAAGUUGAACGCAGAAUAGAGCUUCGGCUCUAUUGCUGAGUAGCAAACGGGUGAGUAACGCGUGGGAAUCUACCUUUUUGUGGGGGAUAACUAAGGGAAACUUUAGCUAAUACCGCAUAAGCUCUACGGAGGAAAGGCUUCGGCCGCAAGAAGAGGAGCCCGCGUCAGAUUAGGUAGUUGGUAGGGUAAAAGCCUACCAAGCCAAUGAUCUGUAGCUGGUCUGAGAGGAUGAUCAGCCACACUGGGACUGAGACACGGCCCAGACUCCUACGGGAGGCAGCAGUGGGGAAUAUUGGACAAUGGGGGAAACCCUGAUCCAGCAAUGCCGCGUGAAUGAAGAAGGCCUUAGGGUUGUAAAGUUCUUUCACCUGUGAAGAUAAUGACGGUAGCAGGAUAAGAAGCCCCGGCUAACUCCGU